This 200-nucleotide ribosomal RNA is filed under the name uncultured bacterium. RNAcentral's name for it is "partial 16S ribosomal RNA". It matches the Rfam family "Bacterial small subunit ribosomal RNA", at positions 29 to 224 of the family's 1533-position model. The record is from RNAcentral.
AGUGAACGCUGGCGGUAGGCCUAACACAUGCAAGUCAAACGGCAGCACAGGAGAGCUUGCUCUCUGGGUGGCGAGUGGCGGACGGGUGAGGAAUACAUCGGAAUCUACCUUUUCGUGGGGGAUAACGUAGGGAAACUUACGCUAAUACCGCAUACGACCUACGGGUGAAAGUGGGGGACCGCAAGGCCUCACGCGAUUAG